RNAcentral lists this ribosomal RNA (451 nucleotides) under uncultured bacterium. Its description in RNAcentral is "bacterial SSU rRNA". It matches the Rfam family "Bacterial small subunit ribosomal RNA", at positions 26 to 521 of the family's 1533-position model. The record is from RNAcentral.
AGAGCGAACGCUGGCGGCAGGCUUAACACAUGCAAGUCGGGCGGGCGUAGCAAUACGUCAGCGGCAGACGGGUGAGUAACGCGUGGGAACGUACCUUUUGGUUCGGAACAACACAGGGAAACUUGUGCUAAUACCGGAUAAGCCCUUACGGGGAAAGAUUUAUCGCCGAAAGAUCGGCCCGCGUCUGAUUAGCUAGUUGGUAGGGUAAUGGCCUACCAAGGCGACGAUCAGUAGCUGGUCUGAGAGGAUGAUCAGCCACAUUGGGACUGAGACACGGCCCAAACUCCUACGGGAGGCAGCAGUGGGGAAUAUUGGACAAUGGGGGCAACCCUGAUCCAGCCAUGCCGCGUGAGUGAUGAAGGCCCUAGGGUUGUAAAGCUCUUUUGUGCGGGAAGAUAAUGACGGUACCGCAAGAAUAAGCCCCGGCUAACUUCGUGCCAGCAGCCGCGGU